AUUAGCCUGGCAAGACCAAAAUCAGAUAUUUUAGGCUCAAAAUCUGCAUCCAACAAGAUGCAUUUAGAGCUUAUAUUUCGGUGGAUGAUACGGGGAUUACAGUUAUGAUGGAGCCAUGCAAAUCCCCGAGCUGCUCUUAUACCAAUUUUGAGCCUUAGAGGCCACUCCAUAGGCUUCUUACCUUCAUCUACGGUAUGUAGAUUAUCAUGCAGGGUACCAUUUGGCAUAUACCUAUAAACUAAAAGCCUUUCCUUAUUAGCCAUGCAGAAACCCAAAAGGGGAACCAAAUUAGGAUGUUUCACACUCCCCAGAGUAGACAUUUCAGAUACAAAUUCUUUUGCAGAGUGCUGUGAAUCCUGCAAUCUCUUCACCAUUAGAAAAGUGCCAUCCUCAAGCACUGCUUUGUACAUAGUCCCUGUUCUUCCUGACCCAAUGAUAUUGUCUUUGUUGAAGCUGUUAGUAGCCUUCAU
This 470-nucleotide unclassified non-coding RNA is filed under the name Hevea brasiliensis (rubber tree). Lineage: Eukaryota; Viridiplantae; Streptophyta; Magnoliopsida; Malpighiales; Euphorbiaceae. The record is from RNAcentral.